Molecule: ribosomal RNA, 267 nt
Filed under: uncultured bacterium
Lineage: Bacteria
Description: partial 16S ribosomal RNA
Rfam family: Bacterial small subunit ribosomal RNA
Source: RNAcentral
UAUGGCGACCAGCGCACGGGUGAGUAACACGUAUCCAACCUGCCGAUGACUCGGGGAUAGCCUUUCGAAAGAAAGAUUAAUACCCGAUGGCAUAGUUCUUCCGCAUGGUGGAACUAUUAAAGAAUUUCGGUCAUCGAUGGGGAUGCGUUCCAUUAGGUUGUUGGCGGGGUAACGGCCCACCAAGCCUUCGAUGGAUAGGGGUUCUGAGAGGAAGGUCCCCCACAUUGGAACUGAGACACGGUCCAAACUCCUACGGGAGGCAGCAUG